This 445-nucleotide ribosomal RNA is filed under the name uncultured bacterium. Its description in RNAcentral is "partial 16S ribosomal RNA". It matches the Rfam family "Bacterial small subunit ribosomal RNA", at positions 354 to 796 of the family's 1533-position model. The record is from RNAcentral.
GUGAGGAAUAUUGCGCAAUGGAGGCAACUCUGACGCAGCCAUGCCGCGUGCAGGAAGAAGGCGCUACGCGUUGUAAACUGCCUUUAACCGGGAAGAAACCCCAGGACGUGUCCUGGGUUGACGGUACCGGAGGAAUAAGCACCGGCUAACUUCGUGCCAGCAGCCGCGGUAAUACGAAGGGUGCAAGCGUUAUCCGGAUUCAUUGGGUUUAAAGGGUGCGUAGGCGGAGCGUUAAGUCAGUGGUGAAAUCCUGCAGCUUAACUGUAGACUUGCCAUUGAUACUGGCGCUCUUGAGUGCGCUUGAAGUGGGCGGAAUGUGCCGUGUAGCGGUGAAAUGCUUAGAUAUGGCACAGAACACCAAUUGCGAAGGCAGCUCACUAAGGCGAUACUGACGCUGAGGCACGAAAGCGUGGGGAUCGAACAGGAUUAGAAACCCUAGUAGUCC